This is a long non-coding RNA of Notolabrus celidotus (New Zealand spotty), 727 nucleotides long. RefSeq lists it as uncharacterized. The record is from RefSeq and is a predicted model, not a curated record. Lineage: Eukaryota; Metazoa; Chordata; Actinopteri; Labriformes; Labridae. The transcript has 4 exons.
AGAAAAAAUCUCGCCACCCCCAAUUACUGUCUGGCGACCACCCAGGGGUUCACGACCCCCACUUUGGGAACCCGUGCACCACAGGUUGUUUGUACAGAGAAGCUCUAUGAAACAGAGACGCUCCUCCGCAGGCUGGGCUCCGGGUUGUGUACGUCCGAAUAUCGGGACCAAUGAUCGGGUAGGAUCUGCGGCUGACUCCCGCUGCAGCCUGACAGAAGCUUCGAGACAGCACGAAGGACAGCAUGCUGAAGACAAUAGCUGUCAUCAGCCUGCUGAGGAGAGACGGCAUGCUUCUCCACUUCUCCGUGUUCUUCUCUUUACACAAGCAUUUCACAGACUACCACUUCAGGAAAACCAAGACUAGAAAUCCUAACAAUGGGCGCCAGAUCAGCUGAGCAGUGAAGGCGUGUGUCCCACUUACAGAGGCAUUAGUCUUUGUCACAGCGAUCGCUGGCCUCGACCCUUUGCUCUCUGCUUUUGAAGACAUGAAUAUAAAAUAUGUUACUUGCAGCACACUAAAGUCCAAAGAAGUGAUCCUCUGGAGAGCACAAAAAGCAGGACACAGUUUUGAUGCAAUCGAUUUAAAAGUCGCUAAAAAGUGUUUCACUUAAAACCAAAAAUGUCGACCUCAUGACUGUGUCAGAUAAACUGUCUGUCUCAUCCUCUGGGGAAAAUGAAUGUUUGUAUAAAAUGUCAUCUAAUAAAAGUUUUGCUGUAUGAAACUCCA